GACGAACGCUGGCGGCGUGCUUAACACAUGCAAGUCGAACGGAAAGGCCCUGCUGUUGUGGGGUGCUCGAGUGGCGAACGGGUGUGUAACACGUGAGUAACCUCCCCUUGACUUUGGGAUAUCUUCAGGAAACUGGGGCUAAUACCGGAUAGGAGCUCCUGCUGCAUGGGGGGGGUUGGAAAGUUUCGGCGGUUGGGGGUCGGCUCGCGGCUUAUCAGCUUGGUGGGGGGGUAGUGGCUUACCAAGGCUAUGACGGGUAGGCCGCCUGUGGGGGUGAGCGGCCACCCUGGGACCGAGAGGCGGCCCCAGCUGCGAAGGGAGGGCACAGGGGGGAAUAAUGCCGGAGGGGCGGAAGGCUGGUGCAGCAGCGCCGCGGGCGGGAAGACGGCCUUCGGGGUGGAAAACGUCUUUGCCUGUGACGGAGCGUAAGUUGACGGUACCGGUAAAGAAGACCCCGGCCAACUACGU
This 468-nucleotide ribosomal RNA is filed under the name uncultured bacterium. RNAcentral's name for it is "partial 16S ribosomal RNA". It matches the Rfam family "Bacterial small subunit ribosomal RNA", at positions 28 to 506 of the family's 1533-position model. The record is from RNAcentral.